AAUGAACGCUGGCGGCGUGCUUAACACAUGCAAGUCGCACGAGAACGCCUCAGCUUGCUGGGGCAAGUAAAGUGGCGCACGGGUGAGUAACGCGUGGGUAAUCUACCUCCGAAUUGGGGAUAACAUUGCGAAAGCGGUGCUAAUACCGAAUAAUAUCCUUGAGACUCAGGUUUUGAGGACCAAAGGUGGCCUCUACAUGUAAGCUAUUGUUUGGAGAUGAGCCCGCGUACCAUUAGCUUGUUGGUAGGGUAACGGCCUACCAAGGCUGCGAUGGUUAGCUGGUCUGAGAGGAUGAUCAGCCACACUGGAACUGACACACGGUCCAGACUCCUACGGGAGGCAGCAGUGAGGAAUUUUGCGCAAUGGGGGAAACCCUGACGCAGCAACGCCGCGUGAGUGAUGAAGGCCUUCGGGUCGUAAAGCUCUGUCAAGUGGGAAGAAUCUGCCCGGUGAUAAUACCGCUGGGCAAUGACGGUACCGCUGAAGGAAGCACCGGCUAACUCCGUG
This 507-nucleotide ribosomal RNA is filed under the name uncultured organism. RNAcentral's name for it is "bacterial SSU rRNA". It matches the Rfam family "Bacterial small subunit ribosomal RNA", at positions 29 to 507 of the family's 1533-position model. The record is from RNAcentral.